UGCGGAACACGUAACGCAACCUUCCCAAAACUGGUGAAUAGCCUUCCGAAAGGAGGAUUAAUACACCGUAACAUAAUUAAGUGGCAUCACUUGAUUAUUAUAGGUAGCAAUAUCGGUUUUGGAUGGGCGUGCGCCUGAUUAGGUAGUUGGUAGGGUAACGGCCUACCAAGCCUUCGAUCAGUAACUGGUGUGAGAGCACGACCAGUCACACGGGCACUGAGACACGGGCCCGACUCCUACGGGAGGCAGCAGUAAGGAAUAUUGGUCAAUGGACGCAAGUCUGAACCAGCCAUGCCGCGUGAAGGAUGAAGGCCCUCUGGGUUGUAAACUUCUUUUAUCUGGGACGAAAAAAGGGGAUUCUUCCUCACUUGACGGUACCAGAGGAAUAAGC
RNAcentral lists this ribosomal RNA (391 nucleotides) under uncultured soil bacterium. RNAcentral's name for it is "bacterial SSU rRNA". It matches the Rfam family "Bacterial small subunit ribosomal RNA", at positions 107 to 491 of the family's 1533-position model. The record is from RNAcentral.